GCUAGCUACUACUUUUGCAAAUAUUACAUACUCCUGUGUAGAUAUAUAAAAAGUAAAAAACAACCUGCAGUUGAACACAAGCUAGAAGUUUUAUUACUGCUGAUUACCGGAUUCAAGCUUUCCACUGCAGCAGAAAUGUAAAAUACAAACAAUUCCGCCAAACUAUUAAGAAAAAGAUCGAGUUUACUGAUAAAGGAGAUGAAGAGGAAAAUUUAAAUUACUAUAAAAAUAAAUAAAUAAAAUAAAAUUACAUCCCAUCCAUCACUUCUUUAAUUUUGUUGAGGAACAACAGAGGAUUCCUUGCUGCUGUUUCCUUCUUGCUUCUCAUUGUUCCCAUGUUUGUUUUGAUCCCAAUGAACCUAUGAAUGGGCUUUAUGAUAUUUUAUCCCAACAAAAAAGCAUAGGUUAACCCAUAUCACAUCUCAACAUCCCAUUAUUAAAUCGUCGUCUUCUUUUUAUUAACCAUCUAGGCCGUUACUAAUAAUAACUGAACUGAACUUGCUCUGUCAUCAUAAAUUCCUUACAAAAUAAUAUCUUAAUUUUUAGAAUUUAAAUAAAACACAAAUCUGUCAGAAUAUGGGAGUAUUAAUUAUUACUCAGAUAUGUUUAUAUUUAGAGAAUUAAUAUUUAUACAAGUUAAUUUAAUACAUAAUUAUAUACCAUUAUUAUAUAUGAUAAUGAACAACAAAAGUAAUAAUGCUAU
This 703-nucleotide long non-coding RNA is filed under the name Panax ginseng (ginseng). Its description in RNAcentral is "long non-coding RNA (PGIN_LNC007837)". Lineage: Eukaryota; Viridiplantae; Streptophyta; Magnoliopsida; Apiales; Araliaceae. The record is from RNAcentral.